This 6964-nucleotide long non-coding RNA is filed under the name Zea mays. Its description in RNAcentral is "long non-coding RNA (ZMAY_LNC000662)". Lineage: Eukaryota; Viridiplantae; Streptophyta; Magnoliopsida; Poales; Poaceae. The record is from RNAcentral.
UGUGCGUGUUGUUGCUCUGAUUUUCGAGUCUUGUGUGCGUUGCUCAUUCCCACCUUACUCCGCAUUUCUUUGUGAACUCAAUUGUAAGGGCGAGAGACUCCAAGUUGUGGAGAUUCCUCGCAAACGGGAAAAGAUCAAAGGAAAGAAAAACAUCGUGGUAUUCAAGUUGAUCAUUGGAUCACUUGAGAGGAGUUGAGUGCAACUCUCGUCCGUUGGGACGCCACAACGUGGAGUAGGCAAGUUUUGUACUUGGCCGAACCACGGGAUAACCACCGUGUCAACUCUGUGAUUGCUUUCUUGUGGUUAUCGUGUUUUGAGUCCUCUCUAGCCACUUGGCCAUACUUGUGCUAACCCUUAACAAGUUUUUGUGGCUUAAGUUUUGAACUUUUACAGGAUCACCUAUUCACCCCCCCCCCCUCUAGGUGCUCUCAAUUGGUAUCGGAGCCGUUCUCUUCAAGAAAGGGACUAACCGCCCGAAGAGAUGGAUCCUAAGGGGAAGGGAAUUGUGAUCAACGACAAGGAGAAGGAGUCCUUCGUCAACGAACCAAGGGAUGACAAGUCCAAUGACUCGGGCUCGGGCCACAAGCGAAGAGAUGGGAAGAAGAAGAAGACAAGACGCAUCAAGGAGAUCGUCUACUACGACAGCGAUGAGUCCUCUUCUUCCCAAAAGGACGACGACCACGACAAACAAAGGAAACCGGUUAAUUCUAACUUUUCUUUUGACUACUCUCGUAUUCCGCAAAGUUCAAAUUCACAUUUGCUUUCUAUUCCACUCGGCAAGCCCCCACACUUUGAUGGGGAGGACUACGGAUUUUGGAGCCACAAAAUGCGUAGUCACCUAUUCUCUCUCCAUCCUAGCAUAUGGGAGAUUGUAGAUAGUGGAAUGCACUUUAAUAGUUCGGAUAGUCCUAUAUUCAUUAAUGAGCAAAUCCAUAAGAAUGCACAAGCUACUACUGUUCUUCUAGCCUCAUUGUGCAGGGAUGAAUAUAAUAAAGUGAGUGGCUUGGAUAACGCCAAGCAAAUCUAGGAUACCCUCAAGAUCUCUCAUGAGGGAAAUGACGCUACCUUGCUCACCAAAAUGGAGUUGGUGGAGGGCGAGCUUGGACGGUUCGCGAUGAUAAGGGGCGAGGAGCCAACUCAAACAUACAACCGGCUCAAGACCCUUGUCAACAAGAUAAGGAGCUAUGGAAGCACGCGAUGGACGGACCACGACGUCGUCCGCCUAAUGCUAAGGUCCUUUACUGUUCUUGAUCCUCAUUUGGUAAAUAAUAUUCGUGAGAAUCCCAGGUACACCAAAAUGUCGCCCGAAGAAAUUCUUGGAAAAUUCGUAAGCGGGCGGAUGAUGAUCAAGGAGGCAAGGUACGUCGAUGACGCGUUGAACGGUCCAAUCCACGAGCCUCAACCCAUUGCUCUCAAGGCAUCGAGGAGCAAGGAGGCACUACCAAGCAAGGUGGCACAAAUUGAGGCGGCCGGGCUUAAUGAUGAAGAAAUGGCUCUCAUCAUUAAGCGCUUCAAGACGGUGCUAAAGGGUCGCAAUGGACAGCCGAGCAAGACUAAGACCAAGGGGAAGCGAUCAUGCUUCAAAUGCGGUAAGCUUGGUCAUUUUAUUGCUAAUUGUCCUGAUAAUGAAAGUGACCAGGAAAAGGGAAACAAGAGGGAAAAGAAGAAGCAUUAUAAGAAGGCAAAGGGCGAGGCGCAUCUAGGCAAGGAGUGGGACUCGGAUUGCUCCUCGUCCGACUCCGACAAUGAAGGACUCGCCGCCACCGCCUUCAACAAAUCAACCCUCUUCCCCAACGAGCGUCACACAUACCUUAUGGCAAGGGAGAAGAAGGUUUAUGCAUCCGGGGGUUCAAGCUGGAUUAUCGAUAGCGGAUGCACAAACCAUAUGACGGGGGAGAAGAAGAUGUUCACCUCCUACGUCAAAAAUAAGGAUUCCCAAGAUUCAAUUAUAUUCGGUGAUGGGAAUCAAGGCAAGGUAAAAGGGUUAGGUAAAAUUGCGAUUUCUAAUGAGCAUUCUAUCUCUAAUGUAUUUUUAGUAGAGAGUCUUGGAUAUAAUUUGCUAUCUGUUAGUCAAUUAUGUCAUAUGGGGUAUAAUUGUCUAUUUACAAAUGUAGAUGUGUCUGUCUUUAGAAGAAGUGAUGGCUCACUAGCUUUUAAGGGUGUAUUAGACGGCAAACUUUAUUUAGUUGAUUUUGCAAAAGAAGAGGCCGGUCUAGAUGCAUGCUUAAUGGCUAAGACUUGCAUGGGCUGGCUGUGGCAUCGCCGCUUAGCACAUGUGGGGAUGAAGAACCUUCACAAGCUUCUAAAGGGAGAACACGUGAUAGGUUUGACUAACGUGCAUUUCGAAAAAGAUAGACCUUGUGCAGCUUGUCAAGCAGGUAAACAAGUGGGAGGAGCACAUCACACCAAAAAUGUGAUGACGACAUCAAGACCCCUGGAGCUGCUGCAUAUGGACCUCUUCGGACCUGUCGCCUAUCUGAGCAUAGGAGGGAGUAAGUAUGGUUUAAUUAUUGUUGAUGAUUUUUCCCGCUUCACUUGGGUGUUCUUUUUGCAGGAUAAGUCUGAAACCCAAGGGACCCUCAAGCGCUUCCUCAGGAGGGCUCAAAAUGAGUUUGAGCUCAAGGUGAAGAAGAUAAGGAGCGACAACGGGUCCGAGUUCAAGAACCUUCAAGUGGAGGAGUUCCUUGAAGAGGAAGGGAUCAAGCACGAGUUCUCCGCUCCCUACACACCACAGCAAAAUGGUGUGGUAGAGAGGAAGAACAGGACGCUCAUCGACAUGGCGAGGACGAUGCUAGGAGAGUUCAAGACCCCCGAGUGCUUUUGGACGGAAGCCGUGAACACGGCGUGCCACGCCAUCAACAGGGUCUACCUUCAUCGCCUCCUCAAGAAGACGUCGUAUGAGCUACUGACCGGUAACAAACCCAAUGUAUCGUACUUUCGUGUAUUUGGGAGUAAAUGCUACAUUCUAGUGAAGAAGGGUAGAAAUUCUAAGUUUGCUCCCAAAGCUGUAGAAGGAUUUUUAUUAGGUUAUGACUCAAAUACAAAGGCGUAUAGAGUCUUCAACAAAUCAUCGGGUUUGGUUGAAGUCUCUAGCGACGUUGUAUUUGAUGAGACUAAUGGCUCUCCAAGAGAGCAAGUUGUUGUUUGUGAUGAUGUAGAUGAAGAAGAUGUUCCGACAGCCGCUAUACGAACCAUGGUGAUUGGAGAAGUACGGCCACAGGAACAAGAUAAACGAGAUCAACUUUCUUCCUCAACUAUGGUGCAUCCCCCAACCGAAGAUGACGAACUGGUACCUCAAGUGGAGGCGCUCGAUCAAGGGGGAGCACAAGAUAAUCAUGUGAUGGAGGAAGAAGUGCAACCGGCACCUCCAACCCAAGUUCGAGCGAUGAUUCAAAGGGAUCAUCCCGUCGACCAAAUUCUGGGUGACAUUAGCAAGGGAGUAACUACUCGAUCUCGAUUAGUUAAUUUUUGUGAGCAUUACUCCUUUGUCUCUUCUAUUGAGCCUUUCAGGGUAGAAGAGGCCUUGCUAGAUCCGGACUGGGUGUUGGCCAUGCAAGAGGAGUUAAACAACUUCAAGCGCAAUGAAGUUUGGACACUGGUGCCUCGUCCGAAGCAAAAUGUUGUGGGAACCAAGUGGGUGUUCCGCAACAAACAGGACGAGCACGGGGUGGUGACGAGGAACAAGGCUCGACUUGUGGCAAAAGGUUAUGCCCAAGUCGCAGGUUUGGAUUUCGAGGAGACUUUUGCUCCUGUGGCUAGGCUAGAGUCAAUUCGAAUCUUGUUAGCAUAUGCCGCUCACCAUUCUUUCAGGUUGUACCAAAUGGAUGUGAAGAGCGCCUUCCUCAACGGGCCAAUCAAGGAGGAGGUGUACGUGGAGCAACCCCCUGGCUUUGAGGAUGAACGGUACCCCGACCAUGUGUGUAAGCUCUCUAAGGCGCUCUAUGGACUUAAGCAAGCCCCAAGAGCAUGGUAUGAAUGCCUUAGAGACUUUUUACUUGCUAAUGCUUUCAAGGUUGGGAAGGCCGAUCCAACUCUUUUUACAAAGACAUGUGAUGGUGAUUUGUUUGUGUGCCAAAUUUAUGUCGAUGACAUAAUAUUUGGUUCUACUAACCAAAAGUCUUGUGAAGAGUUUAGCAGGGUGAUGACGCAGAAAUUCGAGAUGUCGAUGAUGGGCGAGUUGAACUACUUCCUUGGGUUCCAAGUGAAGCAACUCAAGGACGGCACCUUCAUCUCCCAAACGAAGUACACGCAAGAUCUGCUAAAGCGGUUUGGGAUGAAGGACGCCAAGCCCGCAAAGACUCCGAUGGGGACCGACGGACACACAGACCUCAACAAAGGAGGUAAGUCCGUUGAUCAAAAAGCAUACCGGUCAAUGAUAGGUUCUUUGCUUUACUUAUGUGCUAGUAGACCGGAUAUUAUGCUUAGCGUAUGCAUGUGUGCUAGAUUUCAAUCCGAUCCUAAGGAAUGUCACUUAGUGGCGGUGAAGCGAAUUCUUAGAUAUUUGGUUGCUACGCCUUGCUUCGGGCUCUGGUAUCCAAAGGGGUCUACCUUUGACUUAGUUGGAUACUCAGACUCCGACUAUGCUGGAUGUAAGGUCGAUAGGAAGAGUACAUCGGGGACGUGCCAAUUCUUAGGAAGGUCCCUGGUGUCAUGGAACUCUAAGAAACAAACCUCCGUUGCCCUAUCCACCGCUGAGGCCGAGUAUGUUGCCGCAGGACAGUGUUGCGCGCAACUACUUUGGAUGAGGCAAACCCUCAGGGACUUUGGCUACAAUCUGAGCAAAGUCCCACUCCUAUGUGACAAUGAGAGUGCUAUCCGCAUGGCGGAGAAUCCUGUUGAGCACAGCCGCACAAAGCACAUAGACAUCCGGCAUCACUUUUUGAGAGACCACCAGCAAAAGGGAGAUAUCGAAGUGUUUCAUGUUAGCACCGAGAACCAGCUAGCCGAUAUCUUCACUAAGCCUCUAGAUGAGAAGACCUUUUGCAGGCUGCGUAGUGAGCUAAAUGUCUUAGAUUCGCGGAACUUGGAUUGAAUUGUAGCAUACAUGUGUUUAUGCCUUUGAUCAUGUUCCUUUUUGCAUUUUGUUGCUUAUUGUGGUGCUCAAGUUGUACCAACACUCCCUGGACCUCACAAGUCCGUUGCAAAGUGAUGCACAUGUUUAGGGGGAGAUGUGUCACAACUUGGCCCUUUGAGACUAACCAUUUGCUUGAGUUUGCGUGAUUGAGUCUCGAAGGAGGAUUGAAAGGGAAAAGGUGGACUUGGACCAUGAAAGACUUCCACUGCACUCCGAUGAGAGGGUAACUAAUUCCAAGUUCAUCUCAUGAAAUCUUAUUGCCAUUUGCUCUUAAUUGAAGACUUUGGUGAGGCAAUGGGGUUAAAAGGCCAAGAUUGAUCCCGUUUUGGUGCUUGAUGCCAAAGGGGGAGAAAAUAAAGGCCAAAGCAAUAAAUGGAUCAGCUACCACUUGAGAGAUGAUUUUGAAAAUAGUAGAAUAGAGUUUUUGUUUUGUCAAAAGCUUUUAUUGUCUCUUAUUGUCUCUAUUGUCAAAAGAUGGCUUCUUGUGGGGAGAAGUGUUGAUUAUGGGAAAUAGGGGGAGUUUUUGAAAUCUUUGAUCAAUCUUUUUUGGAAUGACUCUCUUUAUGCUUCAACAUGUGUGUUUGACUUAGAGAUAGAGGUUUGAGUUUGAUUUGCAAAAACAAACCAAGUGGUGGCAAAGGAUGAUCCAUAUAUGCCAAAAUUGAAUCAAAACCAAUUUGAGUUUUAUUUGAAGUGAUUUUGCACUUGUUCUAGUUGCUUUAUGUUGUGUUGGCAUAAAUCACCAAAAAGGGGGAGAUUGAAAGGGAAAUGUGCCCUUGGGCCAUUUCUAAGUAUUUUGGUGAUUGAGUGUCAACACAAGUGUUUAAAUGUGAAUCAACGCCCCUGGAUGAACAAAGUGCAAAUCUAGAGAAAAGGUAUGUUUCUAAGUCUUAGUACAUUGGUUUUGUGUACUAAUAUAUUUGUCUAAGUGUUAGAAACAGAUAGAAGAAGAGAAGAGAAGACUUGGCUGUGUACAGCCAAGGGGCUGCUUCGGUCUGGGGCACCGGACUGUCCGGUGGUGCACCGGACAGUGUCCGGUGGUGCACCGGACAGUGUCUGGUGCGCCAGGCUGCCUCGGCCGAAGAGGCCGCUCUCGGGUUUUUCUCCGGCGACUUCGGCUAAAAUUCACCGGACUGUCCGGUGUGCACCGGACUGUCCGGUGAGCCAACGGUCGGCCGGGCCAACGGUCGGCCGCGCGAUCGGCGCGCGACACGUGGCCGAGCCAACGGUCGGAAGGAAGCACCGGACUGUCCGGUGUGCACCGGACUGUCCGGUGCGCCAGAUCUGCAACGGUCGGCAACGGUCGGCUUCGCCAUUUAAGGAAACAAAUCGGGCACCGGACAGUGUCCGGUGUGCACCGGACUGUCCGUUGCGCCACGAGACAGAAGGCAAAGAUGGCCUUCCAGAUUUGUUCCCAACGGCUCCUAGCUUCCUUGGGGCUAUAAAAGGGACCCCUAGGCGCAUGGAGGAGCAUACCAAGCAUUCCUACAACUCUUCUAAGCACCAAGACAUCAAUCUCACGCAUUCGUUUCAUUGUGAUAGCAUAUAGAGCUCUUGUGGAGUUGUGAACUCUUUGUGUUGCGUUGCGAGCUCCUGUUGCGACUUGUGUGCGUGUUGUUGCUCUGAUUUUCGAGUCUCGUGUGCGUUGCUCAUUCCCACCUUACUCCGCAUUUCUUUGUGAACUCAAUUGUAAGGGCGAGAGACUCCAAGUUGUGGAGAUUCCUCGCAAACGGGAAAAGAUCAAAGGAAAGAAAAACACCGUGGUAUUCAAGUUGAUCAUUGGAUCACUUGAGAGGAGUUGAGUGCAACUCUCGUCCGUUGGGACGCCACAACGUGGAGUAGGCAAGUUUUGUACUUGGCCGAACCACGGGAUAACCACCGUGUCAACUC